AACGAAGCAUAGGAGUGGAAUUUUUCGGAAGGAAACAACUAUGACUGAGUGGCGGACGGGUGAGUAACGCGUGGGUAACCUGCCUCAUACAGGGGGAUAACAGUUAGAAAUGACUGCUAAUACCGCAUAAGCGCACAAAACCGCAUGGUUUGGUGUGAAAAACUGAGGUGGUAUGAGAUGGACCCGCGUCUGAUUAGCUAGUUGGAGAGGUAACGGCUCACCAAGGCAACGAUCAGUAGCCGACCUGAGAGGGUGACCGGCCACAUUGGGACUGAGACACGGCCCAAACUCCUACGGGAGGCAGCAGUGGGGAAUAUUGCACAAUGGGGGAAACCCUGAUGCAGCAACGCCGCGUGAGUGAAGAAGUAUUUCGGUAUGUAAAGCUCUAUCAGCAGGGAAGAAGAGAGACGGUACCUGACUAAGAAGCCCCGGCUAACUACGUGCCAGCAGCCGCGGUAAUACGUAGGGGGCAAGCGUUAUCCGGAUUUACUGGGUGUAAAGGGAGCGUAGACGGCUUGAUAAGUCUGAAGUGAAAGGCCAAGGCUUAACCAUGGAACUGCUUUGGAAACUAUGAGGCUAGAGUGCUGGAGAGGUAAGCGGAAUUCCUAGUGUAGCGGUGAAAUGCGUAGCUCUUAGGGGAAACACCAGUGGCGAAGGCGGCUUACUGGACAGAAACUGACGUUGAGGCUCGAA
Molecule: ribosomal RNA, 693 nt
Filed under: uncultured bacterium
Lineage: Bacteria
Description: bacterial SSU rRNA
Rfam family: Bacterial small subunit ribosomal RNA
Source: RNAcentral